Molecule: long non-coding RNA, 660 nt
Organism: Nyctereutes procyonoides (raccoon dog)
Lineage: Eukaryota; Metazoa; Chordata; Mammalia; Carnivora; Canidae
Exons: 3
Source: RefSeq, a predicted model, not a curated record
GUUCUAUCACGUUCAGAAACAACAGUGGUUUAGCUGUGACAUCUUUUUCUUUUUAGGAGGGAAAAAAAAAUGUGAAAGGGAUGUCCCCUAAGGGAAGGGAGAUAUUCUGGUCCACAGACGCGUGCCCAGAACUGGACACAGGCUAUCAUUACCGUCCCCGUUCCUGGGACACCUCUGGAAGGGUGCCUUUUAAGAAUCCCCUCUUUUUUCCUCCCCCAGGCUUUCCUCUCUGAUGGAACAACAACAACAACAACAACAAAACCCUUCUUUUUCCCUGACCCCUAUCCCAUCUCAUCAUCCCCCAUCUUCCUAACUGUAGUUUGCAAGCCUGCUGCAUUUGCGAACCCUUCUCAAAAUUCCAAGAGGAAAGACCAGGGUGAAAGACACUGGCACACAGACUGGGAAAUCUGCACCUUGGCAGAGGUUACAGAGCCAGAGAGCCUCUGAAAAGGGGAAACUCCUGUAGGAAUGCCCACUCUGCAGCAGAAGAGAAAUGUCCUAAAAGCUAAGCUGAGUUACAGAGACACCCUCCCUGGCCACGGAAACCUUUGCUGGGAUCUAUAACUUCAACUCGCUCCAAGUUUCCUCGAUAGAAGUUUCUGGCUGACAGUCCCAACAUGUAACUGAGGCACAGUGAGAAGUUAUUGUUCCGUGUGUACU